UAAAGAGAAAAUUGGCUGCCAAGUGGUCAAAUCUCAGGUUCCUGUAAUUAGGCAACCCACACAUGACCGUCAGCCUGCCUGGUGAGGUCUCUAGAUAACUAUGAUGAUGCAGUGGGGGAUAUAAAAGCAAGAUGAAAGAAAGCUGGUGCUAGAACUAUGUAAAAAAUGGCAUGAAAAAUCAGAAAUACAACAAACACUUCCUCAAGUAAAACCUGACUCACCUAUUUCCUGAGGCAGGCAUGGGCAGAAAGGAGGAAAAAGUGGCUUUGGUGAGCUUAGGUAUCAUGCCGGAUUUCCUGCACAUUUUCGUGAAGACCAUCUAGAAGCCCAUGCCUGCUUAUAACUGGCGAGAUGGGAUUAUGGCUUGUCAAGCAGCAGAACACACCCAGUGUCUCCUCUCCUACAGAGCGUCUGCUGCUAUGGACAUGUGCUGCCCUGGGAAAAGUCCACUGAAGGUGGAUGAUGCAGAUGAAAAGGCUACUUCACUUUUGGAAGCUGCCUAAUUCACUUCCAGGAGCAAACUUUUUGAUCGGUAGGAUAUGACUCAGUAAUGCUGAUUGAAUUGGCUUCUCACUGUAUUUGUCAAGGCUGGAACAGACGAUGGCACUGCAGAAUCUUAUGUGCACAGAAGAAAUCUACAGACAUUCAAUGAGGGGAGGAUUUCGUUCCAUCAGAUGGGCUUCCUGACAUAAUUGCAAAGACACAUGAAGACUCAACGAUUUAUCUCCCAUCAACCUCUUCUUAGUUAAUAUCAGCCCAUGUGCUCCAAGAAAACCAGAGGAAAUAUCAAGAAAGAAGAAAACAUGAGACCCUGAAAAUAAAAACCUCAACCCAGAAGUGUAGGAACGUGGGAAAUGAGUGCGUAGUGUGCCUGCAGGGCUUGGACCUCGUGCCCUUGGAGCUAGGAACACGGUGCUUUUGGGAUUCUCUUUCUAUCCCCUAGAUGGCAGCAACAUUCUUUAGAGCCUAACUGGAACUUUCUUCUGAUUUGUUCCAAACACUCCCCACACUCGGAGAGCAUUCCAGUGAAGUGGGUGGAGAAGGAAACAGAUGUGAGACCAGAUGCAGAUCUGAACAAAUUUGUUAGGUCCUGAAUUUCUACUGAUCACAGUAGCUGAUGAGAAAUGUCUGUGGCAUAGUAGCAAGUCUCUCUGAACAAUUUAGAAUGGACGUUCAUAAAUUAAGGGCAUAGAUGUCAAAACUGUCAUUCUCUGCCUAUGAGAUGGAGAAAGCUGAUUUUAUCAGGAGGUAAACUGGAGACCAUGAAAUAAUUCCAGUAUGUUUGCUUAAUUGUUGGGUAUUCCUGUGACAAAGAAGGCACUACUCAGCCAGCCAGAAUGCACUGACCACCACUGCAGGGUUUCAGUCACAUGAGACAUCUGGGUGAUAGAGGGAAGUGUGGGGAAUGGCUAUCAUUGAUGAGCCUGUAUGUUCUAAGUGAUCUGGGGACUAAGGCUUAUUUUUCUCCAGGCUUGUCUUAUGAAGAAGUUUUAGUCUAUUUGGAAUAGAUAAGGCUUAUACACAUAAAGUAACUGAUACUCAAUUAUAUGUAAUUAUGUUAGUUGGGGAUAAGGCUAAGCUGUGUUAUGUAGUGACUCAAAAAUGCGAUGACUCAAACAAGAUUGGAGCUUGUUUCUCUCCGGGAAUGAAUGAUCCCACACUCGGGGGCAGCUAGGCUGCUGGGAUCCAGGUUCCUUCACCUGUUGCUCUGUUAUGGUUGAAGCUGGCUUAUCCCAACCUCAUUCACAUUUCAGCCCACACAGCUAGGCAGAAGAGGGGUGAAAGUGGAGCAUGAGCAAUGCCUUUUCUUUUAUUUUUUUUAAAGUCAGUAUUAUUGCAUUAUAAUUUACAGAAAAUAAAAUACACCUAUUUUAAGUGUAUACUUUAAUGGGCUUUGGCAGAUUGCUUACACGCAUUGAACCACCACCCUAAUCAAGAUAAUGGCAUUUCCAUCAUCCCUAAACAUUUCCUCAUGCCCUUUGCAGUAAAUGCCAUCUACUCUUGGUCUAAGGUGGCUACUGAUUUGAUAUCUAUCACUACAGAUUAUUUUUGCCUGUUCUAGAAUAUCACAUAAAUGGAAUUAUAUGGCAGGUGCUUUCAGGCUGGGUGAUAUAAGUCAGGUGUCUAAGUUGUAAAUUUAAACAGACACUCACACUAAGUUUUAUGCCAGUGCUGACUCUACAAUGCACCCUGCGCCAUGCUGCAUUGUAUCUUGUUUCUUUUGCCCUGUGUAUUGUUUUUGAGAUUCAUUUAUUUUGUUAUGUGUAUCAGUGGUUCAUCAUUUUUUGUUGCUGUGUAGUAGUCUAUGUCACAAAUUCACUACAAUUUGUUUAUACGUUUGUCUACUGAUGGACGUUGUUUCCGGUUUUGGGCUUUUAUGAACAUAGCUGUCACAAACAGAUGUGUACAAGUAUUUUAGUGAACAUAUGUUUUCAUUUCUCUUGGGUAAAUACUCAGGAAUGGAAUUGCUGGAUCAUAUGGUAAGCGUGUCUUGGUAACUUCAGGAGACUGCUGAACAAUUUUUGAAAGUGAAUUUAAUACUCGAUAGUCUCAUUAGCAAUGUAUGAAAAUUCUAGUUGCUUUACAGCCUCACCAACACUAGUUAUCAUCAACGUGUUUAACUAGCUAUUCUAGUAACUAUGUUGUGAUAUCCAUUGUAGUUUUUUCCUUUUUUGUCCCCGUACCCUAAGCUCCUAUCCAUUGUAGUUUUAAUUUGCAUUGCCCUGAUGACUAGUAAUGUUAAGCAUCAUUAUAUGUGAUUAUAAGCUAUUGUAGUGUUUCGUAAAAUAUUUGUUAAAAUUUUUUGACUAUUAGAAAAAGUAGGUUGUCUUAUAUUAUUAUUGAGAUGAAAUCUUUUAAUAUUCUGAUUCAUGCUUUAUAUGACCUAAGAAAUCUUUGCAAAACUCAAAGUGUCAAAAGAUAUUCUUUUAUGUUUUCUUCUAAAAACAUAAUAAUUUUAGCUUUAAUUUAGAUCAGUUUUCCAUUUUGAGUUAAUUUUUAUAUAUGUUGAGAGAUAAGGGUUAAAGAGCAUUUUUUCCCCCUUGUAGAUAUCCAGUUGUUCUAGAACAAUUUGUUGAAAAGACUAUUUUUCCUCCAGUGAAUUACUGGCUCCUUCUUAAAAUAAAUUUUCCAUGUAUGCAUGGGUCUGUGUCUGUUCCAAUGGUCUAUAUGCCCACCUUUAUACCAAUACCAUACUAUCUUGAAUACUGUAGCAUUAUAAUCAUUCUUGAAACAAGUAGUAUAUGUCUCAAAUUUCAUUCUUUAUCAAAAUUAUUUUGGCUUCUCUGUAUUCCCAUAUGAUUUUUAGGAUCAGCUUGUCAGUUUUCAGAAAAAAAUGCUAGAAUUUAUAUUUCGAUUUGGUUAAAUGUACAGAUCAAUUGGCAGACAACUGACAUCUUAACAAUAGUAUGUCUUUUAUUCCAUGAAAAUGGUGCUUAUUACAAUCUUUAAUUUUUCUGAGCAAUGUUCUGUAGUUUUCAAUGUAUACGUCUUUGUUAAGUUUUGCUUUGUGUACUUCAUGUUUUUGCUGUUAUUUUAAAUGCAUUGUUGUAUAUGUUUGCAAUAGUUUUUUGCUCACAUAUAGAAAGGUAAUAAUUGUGUAUAUACUUUGCAUCCUGUGACCUUGCUUAAUUUAUUAAUUCUAAUAGCUAUUAAAAUAUCAUUUUAAGAGUUUUCUGUGUACAUAAUUAUGUCAUUUGUGAAUAAAGAUAGUUUACUUCUUCCUUUUGAAUCUAUAUGCCUUCUACUUAUUUUUCUUGCUUUAUUACAGUGGUUAGAACCUCCAGCGCAAU
This 3791-nucleotide long non-coding RNA is filed under the name Homo sapiens (human). Its description in RNAcentral is "HSALNT0326699". The record is from RNAcentral. Lineage: Eukaryota; Metazoa; Chordata; Mammalia; Primates; Hominidae.